RNAcentral lists this long non-coding RNA (572 nucleotides) under Pan troglodytes (chimpanzee). RNAcentral's name for it is "lincRNA". Lineage: Eukaryota; Metazoa; Chordata; Mammalia; Primates; Hominidae. The record is from RNAcentral.
ACAGUUUCUGGCACCCAACAUAGGACAGCUGAGACACUGCAGUCACACAUAUACCUGCAGAUGAGGUCUUGGGACAACAGACAAAAAGCUGGGAACGAGGUAAAAAUAUUUUACUAAUAUCAGCUCUCCUGGAUCUGUGCCUGGAGUGCCCAGUUGAGAGUGAAAGGUGAGAAAAUGUUUACAAAUACUAGAGAAGCCACCAGUUCCCAGCUGAAGUUGCAUUGCCUGGAGGACCUGAGAUGAGGAGAAAAAUGACUGAGCAAGGUGGAGCAAAGGAGAAGAAAGACAUUUGAAUGUACUGGAUUAAUAUAUUUGGCUUUAUAUUAUACAGAGUUAUAUAGAAUCAUGAAAUGUUUUAUGUCCUAUGUUUUGGAUUGAGAUAUACCUCACAACAUGACUGGUAAAUCAAUGAUAGUGCUUCAUCAAAUUUCCCAUGUGCAAACAGGAGCGAAGAGAAGCUAUAGUGAGCUCCAAAAAGAAUGCUCCAAGGAAGAUAUCCAGGGACUUAUCAUACCUCACUCUAGAGCUGUGAUAGCAGCUUGCCUGAAUUGAGAUAUUUACCUUUUCAAUUC